UGUCAAACAUUGGAGAAGAGAACUCCUCCACAAGAUUUUAACCAAGAUUCUCUCACGCUCUUCCUCAACAAUGAUUCCGCAUAUGUGCAAAGAGACGACCUUCGAAUUGUCAAGCAGCUACAAUCGCCAUCAAUUCCUAGUGAUUUUCUCUCUUCUCCUUUUCAGACAGUUUUGCGGUGACACAGAGCUCAGGCGUUGAAGAAAAUAUUGCGCAUCAAGUUCUCUCAACGACACCCAAAAGCCUCUGAUUUUGCAAAUGCAACUCAGUCUCAAUUAGCAUCUUCAUCUGUGCCAUAUUAGGGAUCAAGAGAUCUCAUCAGUGCCCCUUUGAAAGGGUUGCAUUCUAAUGCUAUAUGCUCGCAGGCACUUUUUGUUUCCUCCUUGAGUAUUGAAGAAUAUAAUGUUCGUGUAAUGGCAGUAGUACACUGCGAAGCACAAUAGGGAUGUUCUUCGCUGGGGAAAGAAUAUCAUCUCUGCUAAAACAUGGACAAAAAAACGAGCUGGUACAGCAGUUUACAAUAGAGCAUCUUUGCUAGAAACACUAGUUGGUUAUCUGUACCUGACAAAUGCAAAACGCUUGGAAGAAGUCACGGGAAAGCUUGGAUUCUCAACUGGUUCUUCUACACAGCCGAUUUUAGAGGAACAAGUAGCAAGUUAAUUGCUGAGUCAUGUUGUUUGUGGCGUCUCACUCGAAUAUGCAACAGUCGAGACAAUUUGCAUGAUCCCGACAAAGUGAAUAGAUAGGCAGCAUGUAACAUGCCAUAGUUAAGUCAUGCAUGAAAAUGUUCUGAGAAGUUGUGGUGGUAUUGUGCACCAAAGAUGGAAGGGAAGCUGGGAUUUUAAGUGCUGUUCACUCGAACUUCAUGUAUGUUUAGUUUUAGGGCAUUGGAUGCUCUUGUAAUUCUGGCAUUGUAUGAUUUUGGAUAUCAUCAAAAUAAUAAUACCAUUUGAUUGUUAUUCAAAGGAACUUUACAAAAG
This is a long non-coding RNA of Pistacia vera, 978 nucleotides long. RefSeq lists it as uncharacterized. Lineage: Eukaryota; Viridiplantae; Streptophyta; Magnoliopsida; Sapindales; Anacardiaceae. The record is from RefSeq and is a predicted model, not a curated record. The transcript has 6 exons.